Molecule: long non-coding RNA, 325 nt
Organism: Juglans microcarpa x Juglans regia
Lineage: Eukaryota; Viridiplantae; Streptophyta; Magnoliopsida; Fagales; Juglandaceae
Exons: 2
Source: RefSeq, a predicted model, not a curated record
GGUCCCGAUAAGGUUAAAUGUUUUUUUUUUUGUUCAUUCUUUUAUAUCUUUAAAUAUUUUUAAAAACAUCAUAACAUUAAAAGAUAUCUUCUUAAUCAUUAAAUUAAAAAAAAAUUGUUGAACCCAUCAUCGAGACCCAAGUCUUAACCACUUUAGUUUUUUCCUUAACAAAUCCACAAGAGAGGAAUCUAUAGACAAAAAUUUACAUAGAAUUUUCAGAUGGAAAAUGAUUCUUCCACAUACAAAAUGUACUGAUAAAGUGUACAGAAUCCAGAUUAGUGUUUUAAAAAAAAAAAAUUGUAUGUUUAUUAUUUAAUAUGUUUUU